This 634-nucleotide ribosomal RNA is filed under the name uncultured Ralstonia sp. RNAcentral's name for it is "bacterial SSU rRNA". It matches the Rfam family "Bacterial small subunit ribosomal RNA", at positions 90 to 720 of the family's 1533-position model. Lineage: Bacteria; Pseudomonadati; Pseudomonadota; Betaproteobacteria; Burkholderiales; Burkholderiaceae. The record is from RNAcentral.
GGCGAGUGGCGAACGGGUGAGUAAUACAUCGGAACGUGCCCUGUAGUGGGGGAUAACUAGUCGAAAGAUUAGCUAAUACCGCAUACGACCUGAGGGUGAAAGUGGGGGACCGCAAGGCCUCAUGCUAUAGGAGCGGCCGAUGUCUGAUUAGCUAGUUGGUGAGGUAAAGGCUCACCAAGGCGACGAUCAGUAGCUGGUCUGAGAGGACGAUCAGCCACACUGGGACUGAGACACGGCCCAGACUCCUACGGGAAGCAGCAGUGGGGAAUUUUGGACAAUGGGCGAAAGCCUGAUCCAGCAAUGCCGCGUGUGUGAAGAAGGCCUUCGGGUUGUAAAGCACUUUUGUCCGGAAAGAAAUGGCUCUGGUUAAUACCUGGGGUCGAUGACGGUACCGGAAGAAUAAGGACCGGCUAACUACGUGCCAGCAGCCGCGGUAAUACGUAGGGUCCAAGCGUUAAUCGGAAUUACUGGGCGUAAAGCGUGCGCAGGCGGUUGUGCAAGACCGAUGUGAAAUCCCCGAGCUUAACUUGGGAAUUGCAUUGGUGACUGCACGGCUAGAGUGUGUCAGAGGGGGGUGGAAUUCCACGUGUAGCAGUGAAAUGCGUAGAGAUGUGGAGGAAUACCGAUGGCGAAG